CAUAGAGGCGGUAAGAGGACUUGCGGCGGGCCACUUCGGCUUCUUCUCCGGCCUGUUCUCCACGCGGCUUCCCGCGCGUCCAGUCGGCCACCAUGGGGAAGCGAGAUAAUCGUGUGGCCUACAUGAAUCCAAUAGCAAUGGCCCGGUCAAGGGGUCCAAUCCAGUCUUCAGGACCAACAAUCCAGGAUUAUCUGAAUCGACCAAGGCCUACCUGGGAGGAAGUAAAGGAACAGCUGGAAAAGAAAAAGAAGGGCUCCAAGGCUUUGGCUGAGUUUGAAGAAAAAAUGAAUGAGAAUUGGAAGAAAGAACUAGAAAAACAUAGAGAAAAAUUAUUAAGUGGAAAUGAGAGCUCAUCCAAAAAAAGACAGAAAAAGAAAAAAGAAAAGAAGAAAUCUGGUAGGUAUUCAUCUUCUUCUUCAUCGAGCUCUGAUUCUUCCAGCAGUUCUUCAGAUUCUGAAGAUGAGGAUAAAAAACAAAGAAAAAGAAGGAAGAAAAAGAAGAGCCGUUGCCAUAAGUCUCCUGAGACCUCAGUGUUGGAUUCAGACUCAGACAGCAAGGAUGGUUCAAAAAAGAAGAAGAAGUCAAAGGAUGUAACUGAAAGAGAAAAGGACACUAAAGGACUCAGCAAAAAGAGAAAGAUGUAUGAAGAUAAACCAUUAUCAUCUGAGUCGCUGUCAGAGUCAGACUGCGGAGAGGUGCAAGCAAAAAAGAAGAAAAGCGGUGAAGAGCGAGAGAGAACAACAGACAAAGCCAAAAAGAGAAGGAAGCAUAAGAAGCACAGCAAGAAGAAGAAAAAGAAGGCUGCCAGUUCAAGCUCAGACUCGCCGUAGCGUCAGGAAGACCAGGGUCCUUACAGAGUGCAAUGUCGAAGGAGCUCUCAACUGUGAAGAUGAUG
This is an RNA transcript of Mastomys coucha (southern multimammate mouse), 895 nucleotides long. It is a transcript of the gene named protein FAM133B pseudogene, with no coding region annotated. The transcript has a single exon. The record is from RefSeq and is a predicted model, not a curated record. NCBI's taxonomy places the organism in Eukaryota, Metazoa, Chordata, Mammalia, Rodentia, Muridae.